CCCUAACACGUAGCGUCCGAAUAGUAGUCUGCUGUCUCUAGUUUGUGCUCGUGCAGCAGAGGUGAGGUGAAUUACGUUGUCGGAGUAUUCGAACGUUCCAUCGUCAUUAUUUCUUCAUGGAAGUUGGCAUUCUAGUAUUACACUGACAGAUGUUGAAGUUCUCCACGAGAAUGUCCAGCAUCUGAUGAUAAUCGAGAGACGAGAAGUGUUUGCAAAGAGCUGAGAAUCUUUACAGAGGCAAAGUUUCUCAAAUCCUCGAUCACGGAUGAAGAACCUGAACAGUUAUCAACAGAAUCACCGAGGUACGUUUACAAGUAAAGAAGACGGCACAACUGACUUACAAACACCAUCAAAAGUACUUCCUUGAGAUGCAACUUGUUGUUUCCGCGGCCUCCUUUCUGUGGUUCUGCUGCACAGGAAAUCUUAAACAUACUGGAAAAAGUAAAACAUCGUACCCAUCCAAUUUUUGAUAGACGAUAAUAAAAGUAAUAAGCAGAAGAGGAGAGGUUAGGCUGGUCUUGAUAUCAGUAAUUCCUGUGCACUUUUGCAUUUGUUUAAAAUAUAUUCUCAAUCCUUGCCUAUCUUUAAAAUAAGAAGGGUAAACAAAUUCACUUCUCCUUAAAAUAAUUUUCCUUUUCUUUGCUUUUUUUUUCCGCUUAUUUCGGUUAGAAAAUUAUCAACUCAAACUCAUUCAAGGAAGCCUAAACUAUUAAACUUAAAGGAAUGCAAUUCCCUCUUUUCUCCGUCUCCCUUUUUUUUAAGGGUAUAUCAAUGCAAUCACGAUUUUGUAAGUAGUUUCGAUACUCUGUGUUGUCUGGUUCGUAAUAAUUUGACAAGAUUGUAUUUUUUGGGGAAAUAUCUCAGACCUAUGGAAUUCCUAUGCAACGAGAAUUACAGUUUUAUAAGCAGUGCACAUUGCAUGCACAUGUCAAUUCAAACGGACGAUAUAGUAAGGCGAUGUUCAUUUUGCUUUGUUUUGGUGGUAUUGCUAGCGCAUUUUCAACGCAAGUCUCUUUUCCUUAUGUAUGAUAUGAAAUCAAUUAAUUUGUCACGUGACAUAUUGCAAUAUGCAGCGAUACGUCUGUCAUUAUUGACCGCUAGCAAUAUUGCAGCGGUGCGCCCCUCCAUGCUGAACUUUUGAAUGAUAUCGUGACGAUGUGCGCGUCGUUGGCUAACUAUCUAAGCAUGUAACUAGCAGUGUAAAUGGCUUUGUUACCUUGAUUUAUGAUAUUGCAUCUAUGUGCAUGCUCUCACGUGGUCUUAUUCGCGGUAUUCACCAGCUAUUCAGGUUGCACCAUUUGUGAUUCCUGCGAGUGGAUGAUAUUGCAGCAACAUGCACGCCCGUUAUUGCACUAUUAGUUACCAAUGUCACAACGCAAGUCUCUUUUUCUUUGCUAGAUGCUGUUACAACAGUGCUCAUGUCUUUUCCCCACUGAUAGCGCAUGUCAUGAGCUAACUGUGAAAUGAUAGUGUUGCAGUUAACCUCGGGUGACAUUGCAGCAACGACGAGAAUUUCUGCACUACGUAGUGGCUUGUCAUAACACCAUUUCAGAUCUCCUAUAUCUUCUUUUGAUUAUACGACACCAGCUUGCGUGCCAUUUCAGGCACUGGUAUUCCAUGUACAAGUCUGAUACUCUGUUUAAGGAUGUCUCGAUUCCUUCCAUACAUCUGUUACGCCGUUAGGCAACUCCAGAAAAUACUACUCUUUAAUUUGCAGUUUUGUCGACACUUUCUGUAAGCUCCAAAGGUCUGUUGAUCUUG
This is a long non-coding RNA of Stylophora pistillata, 1761 nucleotides long. The record is from RefSeq and is a predicted model, not a curated record. Lineage: Eukaryota; Metazoa; Cnidaria; Anthozoa; Scleractinia; Pocilloporidae.